GGCGGACGGGUGAGUAAUGUCUGGGAAACUGCCUGAUGGAGGGGGAUAACUACUGGAAACGGUAGCUAAUACCGCAUAACGUCGCAAGACCAAAGAGGGGGACCUUCGGGCCUCUUGCCAUCGGAUGUGCCCAGAUGGGAUUAGCUAGUAGGUGGGGUAACGGCUCACCUAGGCGACGAUCCCUAGCUGGUCUGAGAGGGUGAUCGGCCACAUUGGGACUGAGACACGGCCCAGACUCCUACGGGAGGCAGCAUG
Molecule: ribosomal RNA, 255 nt
Filed under: uncultured bacterium
Lineage: Bacteria
Description: partial 16S ribosomal RNA
Rfam family: Bacterial small subunit ribosomal RNA
Source: RNAcentral